GUGACUGUCAGCAAUGCUGUCUGUGAGAGGCUGUCUCCUGCCACCACCUCUACCCCACUGGGUUUGCCUUCGAGCUUGUUACCCCUCAUGGCAGUGAUCACCACACUCCUCAGAAUGGCCCUAGCUCUUGCAGAGGCUGGGGUCUCCACCCAGCAGGAUCUUCCCACGCGUCUUCAGCCUGGGUGCUGGGUACUCUGUCCUAGUGAAGGGAAAGCGAACACACUCUCUCUAGAUUCCUGUAUCACAACACCUUGUACACACACAGUGUGCUUUAUCGUGACUCAGUGUGGUACACUAACCAAUGGCCAGUGGAAGUGGGACGCCCAGCCCAACUGAGUCAGCGAGCAUGCUUCCGGGCAUGGAAG
RNAcentral lists this long non-coding RNA (365 nucleotides) under Fukomys damarensis (Damara mole-rat). RNAcentral's name for it is "lncRNA (ENSFDAG00000028406.1)". The record is from RNAcentral. Lineage: Eukaryota; Metazoa; Chordata; Mammalia; Rodentia; Bathyergidae.